AACGCGAAGAACCUUACCCAGGCUUGACAUGCAGAGGACAACGGCAGAAAUGUCGUCUCCCUUCGGGGCCUCUGCACAGGUGCUGCAUGGCUGUCGUCAGCUCGUGCCGUGAGGUGUUGGGUUAAGUCCCGCAACGAGCGCAACCCUUAUCGUUAGUUGCCAACAUUUAGAUGGGAACUCUAACGAGACUGCCUGGGUUAACCAGGAGGAAGGUGAGGAUGACGUCAAGUCCGCAUGGCCCUUAUGUCUGGGGCAACACACGUGCUACAAUGGUCGGUACAGAAGGCAGCGAAGCCGCGAGGCGGAGCCAAUCCCGAAAGCCGAUCUCAGUUCAGAUUGUAGUCUGCAACUCGACUACAUGAAGACGGAAUUGCUAGUAAUGGCAGGUCAGCACACUGCCGUGAAUACGUUCCCGGGCCUUGUACACACCGACGCGUA
Molecule: ribosomal RNA, 438 nt
Filed under: uncultured bacterium
Lineage: Bacteria
Description: bacterial SSU rRNA
Rfam family: Bacterial small subunit ribosomal RNA
Source: RNAcentral